RNAcentral lists this long non-coding RNA (2850 nucleotides) under Patiria miniata (bat star). RNAcentral describes it as "uncharacterized LOC119722964, transcript variant X2". The record is from RNAcentral. Lineage: Eukaryota; Metazoa; Echinodermata; Asteroidea; Valvatida; Asterinidae.
CAUUAUGAAAACAACAAAACCGAACACGAAAAUAAUAUAAUGGCUAUCACCGCUAUCACCGCGACACUAAAUCUCUAAACUGCAUUUUUUUACAAAAUGAUACUGUUCAUAAGGUUACAGAAGUAAUUUCAGAAUGAUAGGGCGAAGGUACAGAUGUAGUCCACUAGCUUGUUAGACUAGCGAUUACCCAUAUGGGAAAUUGUACUUUGUUGUGAUGGUAAAGUUAUGGGUGUCCUUCUAUUGGACCUUUUCAGCCAUUCCUGCAUUUUUCUUUUCAAUUUCAGUUAAAUUGGUAAGAUGGUGCAGCACAGGAGAAUGGCAAGCUUUUUGUGCUUGUGCAGGUGUAUGGGCAGGGCCCUGAGAAUUACAAGACAGAAAUGGCGACAUUAUUUUACAGUGGAACUGGACAAGUUCGUCAGAGGAUUGUACCCAAAUCAGCCCUUGGGCAUAUACGGAUUUAGGUACUUGACAGCAACCAAAGAGAGAUUCCUAUGUGAAGUAAGACCAGAAUGUGCUCGAAGCCUUAAAACACUUCAGAAGAAGAGGAACAUUUAUCUGUUGCCCAACAGAAUACUCACUAGGUUGCUGCUACUGUAAUCAACAUGUAGAAUAUGAUCGAGGUCGAAAGCAAGCAUUCAGAUAUGUUGACUUGGGUAUCUUGUCUGAAGAAGACAGUGAAGAGCUCACCAAGGAACCUCCUGCACAAGUUUAUUGCAGUGAAGUGGCCUGACCAAGGAGUCAUCCAGUGGGAAAUGGUGGAGCGUCUUAACAACCUUCAAGCAACUCAACAACUUCAACUGGCUAACAAAGUCACCAAGAGUUGCUGCAAAGCUUUGGCUUCUAGCAUAGCUUCCAGUGACUCUACUUUGACACAGAACUGAAAUGGCAAAGUUUCUGCGAUGAUACUGUCUUUUACGAUGAGGUUGUGGCAUCUUCGUAGUGGUUUCUCACAUUCGCUAUAACGCCCAUGUUAGCUGUCAGUGCCAGGAGCAGCCUCAGUGGCAACUUUAUCGUUGCUGCAAAGCUUUGGCUUCUAGCAUAGCUUCCAGUGACUCUACUUUGACACAGAACUGAAAUGGCAAAGUUUCUGCGAUGAUACUGUCUUUUACGAUGAGGUUGUGGCAUCUUCGUAGUGGUUUCUCACAUUCGCUAUAACGCCCAUGUUAGCUGUCAGUGCCAGGAGCAGCCUCAGUGGCAACUUUAUCGUUGCUGCAAAGCUUUGGCUUCUAGCAUAGCUUCCAGUGACUCUACUUUGACACAGAACUGAAAUGGCAAAGUUUCUGCGAUGAUACUGUCUUUUACGAUGAGGUUGUGGCAUCUUCGUAGUGGUUUCUCACAUUCGCUAUAACGCCCAUGUUAGCUGUCAGUGCCAGGAGCAGCCUCAGUGGCAACUUUAUCGUUGCUGCAAAGCUUUGGCUUCUAGCAUAGCUUCCAGUGACUCUACUUUGACACAGAACUGAAAUGGCAAAGUUUCUGCGAUGAUACUGUCUUUUACGAUGAGGUUGUGGCAUCUUCGUAGUGGUUUCUCACAUUCGCUAUAACGCCCAUGUUAGCUGUCAGUGCCAGGAGCAGCCUCAGUGGCAACUUUAUCGUUGCUGCAAAGCUUUGGCUUCUAGCAUAGCUUCCAGUGACUCUACUUUGACACAGAACUGAAAUGGCAAAGUUUCUGCGAUGAUACUGUCUUUUACGAUGAGGUUGUGGCAUCUUCGUAGUGGUUUCUCACAUUCGCUAUAACGCCCAUGUUAGCUGUCAGUGCCAGGAGCAGCCUCAGUGGCAACUUUAUCGUUGCUGCAAAGCUUUGGCUUCUAGCAUAGCUUCCAGUGACUCUACUUUGACACAGAACUGAAAUGGCAAAGUUUCUGCGAUGAUACUGUCUUUUACGAUGAGGUUGUGGCAUCUUCGUAGUGGUUUCUCACAUUCGCUAUAACGCCCAUGUUAGCUGUCAGUGCCAGGAGCAGCCUCAGUGGCAACUUUAUCGUUGCUGCAAAGCUUUGGCUUCCAGCAUAGCUUCCAGUGACUCUACUUUGACACAGAACUGAAAUGGCAAAGUUUCUGCGAUGAUACUGUCUUUUACGAUGAGGUUGUGGCAUCUUCGUAGUGGUUUCUCACAUUCGCUAUAACGCCCAUGUUAGCUGUCAGUGCCAGGAGCAGCCUCAGUGGCAACUUUGAAGUACUGUGCAUCGUCUUUUUAUUCGUGAAGAGUCGCUGGGAGACACAUUGGCGUGUGCAUCGGAACGGGAACCUGAACAGUGAUGUUUAUAUCCAGUAUCUGUAUAUUAUGGAAUUAUGUACCGUACUCAAAUUAACAUUACAAAUUACUUAAUGAUGCUUGCACAAGUUCUACUUUGCACCGUACAGCUAUAAAGGCCUUCAGAUAGCUUCCGGGCCUGAAUUUUAUGGUUAGGCUUGGAUAACCCUGCUUUCAUUCAAUAGGAUAUCCGUUUUCAGUCAAUGUACAUUAAACCAUGCAGAUUUUGUUGGCAGCAAAAAAAAUCCAGCUACACUUAAGAGACUGAACUCUGAAAAUAUUGGGAAUUAUUUGGUCGAGAAUUAUUCAAUCUAAGUUAUCCUUUUUUCUGGAAGCAUAAACAUCUUAAAAACUUUACAUUACUUAAUGUGCACAAGCAUGCCCGCUUUUCCAACAAUUUUUAUUUUUUUUAAAUUCUUGUUAUUAUUUGUGUGAAUGGUAAACCCAUUCCAGUUUUAUAGUAAGCUUGAUGUUAUUUGAUUGCUUUUUUGUACAACUUAUGUAACUGAUUGAAUUUCACAUUCUCAAUUGUCCCCUAAAAAAUGUUGAAUCCAUCUUUGAAUUAUUUAUUAAAUGCCUGACUUAUUUGGCUAACAAAUAGA